AGAGAGAGACAUGCGCGCAUAUCAAUAAGCGGAGGAAAAGGAAACUAACAAGGAUUCCCCUAGUAACGGCGAGUGAAGCGGGAAGAGCUCAAAUUUGAAAUCUUAAAGGGUUUCCCUUUACGAAUUGUAGUUUAAAGAAGUGUUUUCUGUUGAGGUUUUGGUAAAAGUUCUUUGGAAUAGGACAUCAUAGAGGGUGAGAAUCCCGUAUUUGACCUUUACUUUCAACUUUGUGAUACACUUUCAAAGAGUCGGAUUGUUUGGGAAUGCAGUCCAAAAUGGGUGGUAAAUUUCAUCUAAAGCUAAAUAUUGGCGAGAGACCGAUAGCGAACAAGUACCGUGAGGGAAAGAUGAAAAGGAACUUUGAAAAGAGAGUUAAACAGUACGUGAAAUUGUCAAAAGGGAAGCGUUUGACACCAGUGUUGUUUUUCUGAAAAUCAAUUAAAGAACUGUUUAUGCUAAGCUUGUUUAGACUUUAUCAGCUAUCUGUUUAGUUUUGAGCUUUUCUUUAAUGCACUUUUCAGUUAACAAGUCAACAUCAAUUUCUUUUGCUGUAAAAAAGCUUGAGGAAGGUGGCUUGAGAUUCGUCUUAAGUGUUUAUAGCCUCUUGCCUAUGCAGUCGGAGAGAUUGAGGUCUGCAGCGUAGAUCCUUCGGGGCUAAAUGCAUUUGUGCUAAGUUAUAGCAUUUUAUAGACAACUUGUUGACUAUGAUUUGUCUUGUAGCUUACUCGCUUAUGUUAUUUUACCUACGCUUAGGAUGUUGAGCGCAUGUCUCUCUCU
Molecule: ribosomal RNA, 777 nt
Filed under: uncultured Neocallimastigales
Lineage: Eukaryota; Fungi; Neocallimastigomycota; Neocallimastigomycetes; Neocallimastigales
Description: partial large subunit ribosomal RNA
Rfam family: Eukaryotic large subunit ribosomal RNA
Source: RNAcentral